This 253-nucleotide ribosomal RNA is filed under the name uncultured bacterium. Its description in RNAcentral is "partial 16S ribosomal RNA". It matches the Rfam family "Bacterial small subunit ribosomal RNA", at positions 524 to 776 of the family's 1533-position model. The record is from RNAcentral.
UACGGAGGGUGCAAGCGUGGUCCGGAAUUAUUGGGCGUAAAGCGCGCGCAGGCGGUCCUUUAAGUCUGAUGUGAAAGCCCACGGCUCAACCGUGGAGGGUCAUUGGAAACUGGGGGACUUGAGUACAGAAGAGAAGAGUGGAAUUCCACGUGUAGCGGUGAAAUGCGUAGAGAUGUGGAGGAACACCAGUGGCGAAGGCGACUCUUUGGUCUGUAACUGACGCUGAGGCGCGAAAGCGUGGGGAGCAAACAGG